GAGCCCUUCCAGGGUUAAAGUCCCA
This 25-nucleotide small RNA is filed under the name Salix viminalis (osier). Lineage: Eukaryota; Viridiplantae; Streptophyta; Magnoliopsida; Malpighiales; Salicaceae. The record is from RNAcentral.